This 665-nucleotide ribosomal RNA is filed under the name Salmonella enterica subsp. enterica serovar Enteritidis. Its description in RNAcentral is "bacterial SSU rRNA". It matches the Rfam family "Bacterial small subunit ribosomal RNA", at positions 1 to 655 of the family's 1533-position model. The record is from RNAcentral. Lineage: Bacteria; Pseudomonadati; Pseudomonadota; Gammaproteobacteria; Enterobacterales; Enterobacteriaceae.
AAAUUGAAGAGUUUGAUCAUGGCUCAGAUUGAACGCUGGCGGCAGGCCUAACACAUGCAAGUCGAACGGUAACAGGAAGCAGCUUGCUGCUUCGCUGACGAGUGGCGGACGGGUGAGUAAUGUCUGGGAAACUGCCUGAUGGAGGGGGAUAACUACUGGAAACGGUGGCUAAUACCGCAUAACGUCGCAAGACCAAAGAGGGGGACCUUCGGGCCUCUUGCCAUCAGAUGUGCCCAGAUGGGAUUAGCUUGUUGGUGAGGUAACGGCUCACCAAGGCGACGAUCCCUAGCUGGUCUGAGAGGAUGACCAGCCACACUGGAACUGAGACACGGUCCAGACUCCUACGGGAGGCAGCAGUGGGGAAUAUUGCACAAUGGGCGCAAGCCUGAUGCAGCCAUGCCGCGUGUAUGAAGAAGGCCUUCGGGUUGUAAAGUACUUUCAGCGGGGAGGAAGGUGUUGUGGUUAAUAACCGCAGCAAUUGACGUUACCCGCAGAAGAAGCACCGGCUAACUCCGUGCCAGCAGCCGCGGUAAUACGGAGGGUGCAAGCGUUAAUCGGAAUUACUGGGCGUAAAGCGCACGCAGGCGGUCUGUCAAGUCGGAUGUGAAAUCCCCGGGCUCAACCUGGGAACUGCAUUCGAAACUGGCAGGCUUGAGUCUUGUAGA